UACGAAGGGUCCAAGCGUUGUUCGGAUUUAUUGGGCGUAAAGCGCGCGCAGGCGGAUCGGAAAGUCAGAUGUGAAAUCUCGGGGCUCAACCCCGAAACUGCGUCUGAAACUUCCAGUCUAGAAUAUCGGAGGGGGUAGGGGAAUUUCACGUGUAGGGGUAAAAUCCGUAGAGAUGUGAAGGAACACCGGAGGCGAAGGCGCCUACCUGGACGAUUAUUGACGCUGAGGCGCGAAAGCGUGGGGAGCAAACAGG
RNAcentral lists this ribosomal RNA (253 nucleotides) under bacterium. RNAcentral's name for it is "partial 16S ribosomal RNA". It matches the Rfam family "Bacterial small subunit ribosomal RNA", at positions 524 to 776 of the family's 1533-position model. The record is from RNAcentral. RNAcentral also lists the same sequence under 1 other name.